RNAcentral lists this ribosomal RNA (419 nucleotides) under uncultured bacterium. RNAcentral's name for it is "bacterial SSU rRNA". It matches the Rfam family "Bacterial small subunit ribosomal RNA", at positions 126 to 528 of the family's 1533-position model. The record is from RNAcentral.
CUGCCCAUAAGAGGGGGAUAACAUCCGGAAACGGGUGCUAAUACCGCAUAGUUUUCUUGAUCGCAUGAUCGAGAAAGGAAAGACGGCCUUUGUGCUGUCGCUUAUGGAUGGACCCGCGGCGUAUUAGUUAGUUGGUGAGGUAACGGCUCACCAAGACGAUGAUACGUAGCCGACCUGAGAGGGUGAUCGGCCACAUUGGGACUGAGACACGGCCCAAACUCNUACGGGAGGCAGCAGUAGGGAAUCUUCCGCAAUGGACGAAAGUCUGACGGAGCAACGCCGCGUGAGUGAAGAAGGUUUUCGGAUCGUAAAACUCUGUUGUCAGANAAGAACAAGUNGGAGAGUAACUGCUCCGGCCUUGACGGUAUCUGACCAGAAAGCCACGGCUAACUACGUGCCAGCAGCCGCGGGAAAUACGU